AGAUCGAAGGAAAGAAAGAUGAAGAAACAAGAAGAUACUGAAGAAGAAGCUGCUUAUUAUAAGUUGUUUGAGUUGUUAGUAAAGAAGAUUCGGGGGAUUAUACAAAUACAGAAUCAUAAGAAGAAGAACAAGAAAAGAAAAAAGAAAAUGGUUGGAUUUGGAUGAUAGAUGGGUUUGAGCGGAUUCGGAAAUGGGGUUUUCAAUGUCUUAGUCGUGUUGAGGGAAACUCAACAAUCUGAGUCCAUGGCAUGAACAACCAAGUGCAGAAGGAGCAUGAUGUUCCAGAUUACUGUCAUGGAAGACCAAGGGGACAGCAGUGCCUGAUGACUAUCACGCAACGUUGGGAACUAGGAUAUAUGUCCGUGCUACAGCUUGAGGAGGCAGCUAAUUAACAAUCAACACAGGAGGAGCAUCCCAACAAUGAGAGGUGACAAUCUGACCAAGAUGCUAGAUGCCUAAUGCUGAUUUAGCAGGUGAAGAUCUUAUGCUAAUGUUACUUUUUUGUUAGUAUCUUAUCUGCUAGAUGUUCAUGUUUCUUUUGUGAUAAUCAAUUAGAUGUUCUGAAAUCUCUAUGUAGAGAUAGAUUCAUAUAUGUUUGAAAGGCUAUUGAAUAAGUGGACACACAAAUAGGUCCUUACAGUAGUCAGCAGUCACUAGUUACUGAAAACUAAUUCAGAAGUUUGUUGAUAGUACUUGAGUAUGGGUAUCUGAAUAAUGGUUCUCAAUAUAAAAAGAUGCAUUUACCAUGUCAUUUUCAAUUUAUGAAGAAUAUCGCCACAAGUUAUGUUCAAUUCAGUGGAGUUUUCAAUCGAGUCGCACAAUCAUUCUAAACAAUCAGGUCCGUAAUCGUAUCCACUGAAAUUGUUUGGAAUUGUGAAUAAAUCGAGUCGCCACAAGACUUCUGAAAUUUGGAUUCAGACCCAAAGGAGAUUCUAGGAAUGCAGUCCAAUCCCUACUUCAACAUGCAAAGGCAAGCAUGAAAUAGGGCAUACAUGCAGUCACACACCCGACAUGCUUCUUACAAUGGCGCUACACCACAACAUGCACAUGUGCACUUUCCUGGUUUGUACCAUCCGGGAGCACAACCUGCCCCGAUAGGAAAUCCCUAUCACAUGGUUUCUGGAAUGGAAGGAAUGUUGGUGUGCCUGAAUUGGGCAGGUAACUUCUUAAGAAUUCUUUUGGAAAAAAAAAGUUAACAUAUAAAAAAGAUGUAGCUACGGGUUUUUAUUGAUUCUUUGUGAAAUGAAAAACAACCCGGUAAUGUUUUUUCUUUUUAAUCAAAGCAGCAAUGAAAAAUCUGUUACUAACCCA
Long non-coding RNA from Papaver somniferum (opium poppy), 1311 nucleotides. RefSeq lists it as uncharacterized. NCBI's taxonomy places the organism in Eukaryota, Viridiplantae, Streptophyta, Magnoliopsida, Ranunculales, Papaveraceae. The transcript is spliced from 3 exons. The record is from RefSeq and is a predicted model, not a curated record.